GAUGAACGCUGGCGGCGUGCUUAACACAUGCAAGUCGAACGAAGCACUUAAGAUUGCUUCUUCGGAUGACGUCUUUUGUGACUUAGUGGCGGACGGGUGAGUAACGCGUGGGUAACCUGCCUCACACAGGGGGAUAACAGUUAGAAAUGACUGCUAAUACCGCAUAACCCGAUAGGAUCGCAUGAUCCAGACGGAAAAGAUUUAUCGGUGUGAGAUGGACCCGCGUCUGAUUAGCUAGUUGGUGAGGUAACGGCCCACCAAAGCGACGAUCAGUAGCCGGGCAGAGAGGGAGAAACGACACAUUGGGGAUGGGACACGGCCCAAAAUCCUAAGGGAGGGAGGAAUGGGGGAUAUUGCAAAAUGGGGGAAAACAUGAAGGAGCGACGCCGGGUGAGUGAAGAAGUAUUUCGGUAAGUAAAGCCAUAUAAGACGGGGAGAAAAUGACGGUACCUGACUAAGAAGCCCCGGCUAACUACGUG
RNAcentral lists this ribosomal RNA (479 nucleotides) under uncultured bacterium. RNAcentral's name for it is "partial 16S ribosomal RNA". It matches the Rfam family "Bacterial small subunit ribosomal RNA", at positions 28 to 507 of the family's 1533-position model. The record is from RNAcentral.